GCCAGCGUGGUGUAGUGGUUUGAACAUUGGAUUAUGACUCUGACGACCAGGGUUCGAAUCCCUGCUUGCA
Non-coding RNA from Phrynosoma platyrhinos (Desert horned lizard), 70 nucleotides. Lineage: Eukaryota; Metazoa; Chordata; Lepidosauria; Squamata; Phrynosomatidae. The record is from the annotation of a GenBank genome assembly.